UAGUAAUUUACUAUUUUAUUAUAGAUUAUUCUUGUGAAAUAGUACUGCUAGUAAUUUACCCGUACUGC
RNAcentral lists this transfer RNA (68 nucleotides) under Andrena chrysosceles. Its description in RNAcentral is "tRNA-Thr". The record is from RNAcentral. Lineage: Eukaryota; Metazoa; Arthropoda; Insecta; Hymenoptera; Andrenidae.